This is a non-coding RNA of Podarcis lilfordi (Lilford's wall lizard), 80 nucleotides long. The record is from the annotation of a GenBank genome assembly. Lineage: Eukaryota; Metazoa; Chordata; Lepidosauria; Squamata; Lacertidae.
GUGAUGGGUAUCUCAGUUGUUAGAGCAUGAGAUUCUUAAUCUCAGGAUUGUGGGUUCGAGCAAAAGACCCCUGCAUUGCA